This 75-nucleotide transfer RNA is filed under the name Candidatus Aquicultor primus. RNAcentral describes it as "Actinobacteria bacterium GWC2_53_9 tRNA-Val". It matches the Rfam family "tRNA". From Rfam's summary of the family: Transfer RNA (tRNA) molecules are approximately 80 nucleotides in length. Lineage: Bacteria; Bacillati; Actinomycetota; Candidatus Aquicultoria; Candidatus Aquicultorales; Candidatus Aquicultoraceae. RNAcentral also lists the same sequence under 1 other name. The record is from RNAcentral.
GGGAGUUUAGCUCAGCGGGAGAGCGUCUGCCUUACAAGCAGAGGGCCACAGGUUCAAAUCCUGUAACUCCCACCA